UCAUGCCCUAUCCUUCCCGGCACGAACUACACCUACCAUUUCCAGGUGAAGGAUCAGAUCGGAAGCUACUUCUACUACCCAACCACAGCCUUGCAUAGAGCCGCUGGUGGGUUCGGUGGCCUAAGGAUCUUUAGCCGAUUAUUGAUCCCUGUCCCAUACCCCGACCCCGAGGAUGAGUACUGGGUCAUCAUUGGUGACUGGUAUGCUAAGAGCCACAAAACCCUCAAAAGUCUCCUUGACAGUGGUCGCUCAAUUGGAAGGCCUAAUGGUGUUCUUAUCAAUGGCAAAACUGCCAAGGGUGAUGGAAGUGACCAGCCUCUCUACACAAUGAAGCCUGGAAAAACCUACAAGUACAGAAUCUGUAAUGUUGGUCUCAAGGACUCCCUCAACUUCAGGAUCCAAGGCCACCCCAUGAAGCUGGUCGAGACAGAAGGCUCCCACGUUGUCCAGAACACCUAUGACUCCCUCGAUGUCCACGUGGGUCAGUGCUACACUGUCCUCGUGACCGCCGAUAAGGACCCCAAGGACUAUUACUUGGUGGCCUCCACUCGUUUCACCAAGUACUCACUCACCGAAAAGGGAAUCAUCCGCUACACCAACGGCGUGGGACCUGCUUCACCUGAGCUCCCUCCUGCACCUGUUGGUUGGGCAUGGUCUUUGAACCAAUUCCGAUCCUUCCGGUGGAACCUCACCGCUAGUGCCGCCAGGCCUAACCCUCAGGGUUCUUACCAUUACGGUCAAAUCAACAUCACCCGCACCAUCAAGCUCGUUAACACUGUCUCCAAAGCUCAAGGCAAGCUCCGAUACGCAAUCAAUGGUGUCUCCC
This 826-nucleotide long non-coding RNA is filed under the name Lotus japonicus. Its description in RNAcentral is "long non-coding RNA (LJAP_LNC002140)". Lineage: Eukaryota; Viridiplantae; Streptophyta; Magnoliopsida; Fabales; Fabaceae. The record is from RNAcentral.